This 72-nucleotide transfer RNA is filed under the name Cavia porcellus (domestic guinea pig). It matches the Rfam family "tRNA". From Rfam's summary of the family: Transfer RNA (tRNA) molecules are approximately 80 nucleotides in length. Their secondary structure includes four short double-helical elements and three loops (D, anti-codon, and T loops). The record is from Rfam by way of RNAcentral. Lineage: Eukaryota; Metazoa; Chordata; Mammalia; Rodentia; Caviidae.
UAAACUAUAGCUUAGUGGUAAAGCAAUUGCAUGUUGUGUACAAGUCCCUGAGUUCUCUUCUUAGUAAUUUAA